GGUCACAAGAGCUCUGUGUGUUCAUUUCUUUCCUCCAUAAGAUGUGUGAAGAAGGACUGGAGAAUAGGAGGGAUCAGAAGGGAGAAGAGUUUGCUGUGAAUUCAGGGAGAGGAUUGCUUUUGGGAUGACUGAAAGUUCGGAUUCAACGCCAUGUACUAGACACAGUGAGCAGAUCUGAAUGCCUCUACCUACAUCUUCCACCACAGCUGGCUGUCAACUCUCUUGAAAGGCUGUUUUCUAAACCAGUGUGAUGCCUCAGGUGCAGAAGAGAGAGACAAUAAUUAACAAUGUGGCCUACAGCAUCAUGGGGAACAAUUAAUUUUAGUGAAUGGACAGGAGGAGGAAGAGGGAAGGUCUCUGGAGGCUGUAUCUACACGUGCAAGAAGUUCAGUGCUAUGGGAAGAGAUCCAACUGCUGCUGAGGACUCAUUGAGGACAAUUUUUUUUCCCCAUUUCAGGUACAGAAGAAGGACUUGGUCAUGCUUGGCUACCACCCCUGCUCUGCAGUGAGACAUGGCAAAGCCCAGUCCUCAAGCCUCCUUCCUGAGAUCAGGAGCUACAGUUUGUACAGGAGAACAGCUGAAAGAACCACCUGCUCUUUCUCCAAGAUGUUACUCCCUAUUUUGCUCUCUUGUCUCCAGUCCAAAGACCCAAGGCCCAUUCUAGCAGGAUGACAUGAAAGCACAUGUGUUGUCUGAUGAAGAGCAGCCCUAUUUCACACAACACACAGAUGUUUUUGAGAUGCAGCAGCACUGCAUUGUUUUGCAGCACAGACCUACAAAAGCCCCUCUUCAUUCAUUUAAAAUGCCAUGACAUCGAGAGUAGCUGAUUCAUAUGAUGUGUGCCUUGGUGAAAACAAAAAAUAGAUGUAUAAAACUAGAAAUCAGUGACAGAAUUGCAGCCUUUUUGGGUGUUCCAGACACCUCAAGCUCCAGGGCUGAUUGAGGUGAACUCUCAGAAGACACAAGGCUGUGACCCCACCAAAGGACUGAGCACACACCUGCCCCAGGAAGUUACAAAGGCAGAUGGGUCUCUUGCACUCAGGUUUUUCUCCCAGCAGAAAUAAUCUGUCAAGUUGUAAACCAUUCCCCUGACCCAGUCUGGCAACUUAAUAUCCUACAGUGGCUUUUUACUUCUUAUUGAAUAUCAUGGCAUAAAUUCACAAUUAGGUUUCCCUAAUUGCUGUAUUUGAGAAUGUAAUUUUUUUCCUGGUUCUACCCAAAUAUUCUCUUAGUGCCAAGAGGAUGUGACAUCAUAUUUUUUCAGAUUUCUGUACUUAAAUGUCUGCUACUCACAUUUCAGAAGAGGACUGUGCAUCAUCCAUAUAAAACAAUCUAACUGGUCAUUGCUCACAGUAGCACUGGUACAUUAAAUAAACUUUGUGGUAGAAAAAGUUUCAGAUCCCUUUUGAAGCCUUUCCCCAAGUUUUGUUUACCAGUUUGGAUGGUAGGUAUGUAUUAUAAUGUGCAUCUCAGUUCACAACCACAGUUAAUAUAUGCAGCUGUGUAUGUGUCUAACUUCAUGCAUAAAAGUGCUCCAGCUUUGGUGCUUAUGGAUUAUUAAAAUUAUAUCAUUAUAUCUCUUUCUUUGAUCACAAUUUAGUGUAACACAUUAUCUUGAUUCUCAGUAACUUCCAACUUUGAUGUUACAUUUAAUAAAAUAUA
Molecule: long non-coding RNA, 1663 nt
Organism: Catharus ustulatus (Swainson's thrush)
Lineage: Eukaryota; Metazoa; Chordata; Aves; Passeriformes; Turdidae
Exons: 8
Source: RefSeq, a predicted model, not a curated record